CCCUCUGACCCCGCCAUCCUGCUCUGGACUGCUGGGAAAAACAGAAAUAAGCUUAUUAGGCUAAGUCACUGGAUUUAGAGGUGUUGUCAUAGAAUUUAGUCAGCCCUAAAGAUUCAAAAGUGAUUCCGUUGAAGCAGCUCAAAUGUUUCCAGCUGUUUGAUUUUAUUCCCUUUGGACCUGUCUUGCUUUACUUUGAAUGUUCCUGUUCUCAGUAGAGGUGGCUCAUUAUCAUUCAGGGUGAAUUUGAAUAUUGGCAACAAUCAAAUGCCAUUUGAUACCAAAUUUUAUAACUAAAGAAAAAUCAAACUACAAAAAUCUUUAAAAAAAAAAAAAGCAAUAAAGUGACAAAUCAAAAUUAAUAUGUGACUCUAAAGCAGUCAUUCUAAUGCAAAUCUACCCACAGCCUGUCUUUGCAGAUAAAGUUUUACUGGCACACAGCCACUCUUACUAUUGACCUACUGUCUAUGGAUGAUCCUACGCAUCACACGGAACAGAACUGAGGAAUUGCCACUUGGCCGGCAAAAUUAAAAUAUUUUCUAUCUUGCCCUUUAUAGAAACAUUUGUUAUCCCUGCUCUAAAAAAACAAAAGUCAUUCUCUUUUUUUAAUUGACUUUGGAUGCAACUCCAAAACAGAAGCUACAAAAAGUUUUAGAUGUGCCAGCAUUGUAGGACCAAUUAUAGAAACUCCUAAGAAAAUUAUGCUGAAAAAAUAUUACUUGUGAAAAUAUAUGCUUCUCAAGACUGGUAAAAAUUCAGUUGCUUACAUGCUAAUUCUUUUAACAAAGUUAAAAGACAAGAAUUAGAAAAAAGUAUUUGUUGAUAAGCAAUUAGUGUCCAGAAUAGAUACAGAAUUACAAGUCAAUUAAAAAAAAAUACACUAAUAAGAAUAUUGUAAAAGGAUAUGCAGAGGCAAUUUGCCGAAUACAAAGUCUGAUUGUCCAAUAAACAUAUGAAAAUGGCCUCUACUUACUAAUAAUAAAGGAAAUGCAAUUUAAAAGCAGCAAUGAGAUCAUGUCACAGCUGAAAAACUGGCGAAACUUUAAAAUCUGAAAAAUCUCAAAUUGUGGCAAGAAUGUGGAAAAAGCAAGUUCUUGCUUGUGGGUGUGUAAUUUGUAUUACCACUCUGGGAAACAAUUUGAUAAUUCUUAGUCAGACUGACUCCAUGCAUGCAUAUCCUAAAACCCAGCAAUUCCAUUUCUAGAAAUGCAUCCUAAAGGAAUUUCACAGAUGAGCAAAAGGACACUGUCCAAAGAUGGUCCUUGCAGCCCUGUUUGUAACCAAGAAAAGAGGAAACAAUCCCCAUAAUCAGGGACCUGGAUAAUAGAGCUAGAGAUUAUUCACACCUCUAAAAUUAUGCAAGAGUUAAAGUGAAUUAACCACAUCUACACUGACACAUCUCAAAAACAUAAUGGUGAAUUAAAAAGCAAUUGCAAGAGGAAUACACAGUAGCAUACCAUGUAUUUAAAAUGUUUACAUGCACAAAAUUCUAAAUUUUCACAGACAUUUUUAUACAGUAAAAUUAUAAAUACAAGUUCAAGGUAAAGACAAAAUAAAAGUUAAAAAAAAGAAAAAACAGAGCAAUCAGCUUCAGAUGAUAGUUACCUCUGAGAAGGGAGAGAAAGGGCAUGUAUGGAUGCCCUUUGCCAUAAUCUCAUGGUUGUUUUUUUGAAAACAGAGAGAGAGUGAAAGUAAAUGUGACAAAAUUGUAGCAUCUGUUUAUUAGAUGGCUGACUAGUAAAUAUCCAUUUAUUAUGGUCUUUUUGUACUUUUUUGUCUGUUUGAUACAUUUUAUAUAAUAUAGUUUUUCAAAAGCCAAGAAAAAGUAAUCAUUCACCACCACCCCCUUUACGAAUGCAAUGGGUUCUCUGCUCUCUGCACACAGUACGACACUAGGCAGAGUGUAGCAAGUGACAUUCAGGAGGCCCUGAAUUGCCUGUCCAUUUAGGCCUGGGUACACCUAGAGAGGCUGAUUUCCAUGACAUGGUCUUGCCUUGGGGUUUUUAGAAAAAGAAAAUGAUCUGUAGACCUCAAAUAGGUGUUAAUCUUCUUCCUCCUUAAUGGAUUUCUAGGUCGGCAAAGUCACAACUUCCACAGAUUUUGGAAUUUUAAUUCAUAAUUAGUUAUCUCCUCUUCCUUUCCCAUAAGAUGAGUUCCCUUCUGUUGUCUCUGCAAAGGAUGUAACCAACUGAACAUGGCUCAGAGCCUUGGAGUAUGUCCCACCCCAGUCCAUAGGUAUGGUCAGGUCUCUGCUGACAAGUCGCUUUCUCAGGAUGCAAGCAGGUUCAAAACCCCUUUCCCAUUUUACCCUCUCACUGCACUCUCCCCAUAUUCAGUCAUAAUUCAUUAACCAUUUAUUAAUAUGCAAUUGAUGUCAGUUUUACACAGGGUUCUCCAGGGAAGCAAAAGUGAUAAGAGAGAGAAGAGGAGGCUUACUACAGAAUUAGCUCAUGCAGUUUUGGAGGCCAAGAAGUCCCAUAAUCUGCCAUCUGUGAGCUGGAGACCCAGGAAAGGCAAUGGUAUAAUUCAGUCCAAGUCUGAAAGCCUCAGAACCUGGGGGCCUCGGUGUAAGGCUGGUGUAAAUCCUUCAGUCUGAAGGCAUCACAGGUCUGUCUCUCCCUCUGGACAGUAGGAUCACAGAGUAGGCCUUUAGACUUGUCUACAGCAGUGUCCUCAGAGGCAAGUUCUGUGCCUCGACUGGCUACCCACUAAUUAUUUGCUUCUAAAGUGCAGAAGAGAUUCCUGUCUAGAAUUGGAGCCAGUGCAUGAACUCCAUAUCUGCUCACUAUAAAACCAUAACAGGUAAUUAAUGGAUCACUAGUACUCUAAAGAUCUGAUUUCUAACCCUGGCUUGGCCAUUUACUGUGUCCUCAGAAUGUUAGGUACACUAAGAGAAGAGGGCAGCCUCAAAAGAGAGGCAAUCUAGCCAGUGUUAAAAUGCCCAGCUCUCUUACUUACUCUUCAUGGGGUCUUGGGCAAUUUAUUUAACCCGAGUCUGUCUCAAAAGAAAGAAAGAAAGAAAAAGAAAGACAGACAGAAAGAAAGACAGACAGACAGAAAGG
RNAcentral lists this long non-coding RNA (3059 nucleotides) under Sus scrofa (pig). Its description in RNAcentral is "lncRNA (ENSSSCG00000061344.1)". Lineage: Eukaryota; Metazoa; Chordata; Mammalia; Artiodactyla; Suidae. The record is from RNAcentral.